RNAcentral lists this transfer RNA (78 nucleotides) under Rattus norvegicus (Norway rat). It matches the Rfam family "tRNA". From Rfam's summary of the family: Transfer RNA (tRNA) molecules are approximately 80 nucleotides in length. Their secondary structure includes four short double-helical elements and three loops (D, anti-codon, and T loops). Further hydrogen bonds mediate the characteristic L-shaped molecular structure. tRNAs have two regions of fundamental functional importance: the anti-codon, which is responsible for specific mRNA codon recognition, and the 3' end, to which the tRNAs corresponding amino acid is attached (by aminoacyl-tRNA synthetases). tRNAs cope with the degeneracy of the genetic code in two manners: having more than one tRNA (with a specific anti-codon) for a particular amino acid; and 'wobble' base-pairing, i.e. permitting non-standard base-pairing at the 3rd anti-codon position. Lineage: Eukaryota; Metazoa; Chordata; Mammalia; Rodentia; Muridae. The record is from Rfam by way of RNAcentral.
GGAGAGAUUGCUCAAUGGUUAAGAGCACUGAAUGAAUGCUUUUGUUCAGGGAGCCUGGGUUCAAUUCCCAGCAUCCCA